This 255-nucleotide ribosomal RNA is filed under the name uncultured bacterium. RNAcentral describes it as "partial 16S ribosomal RNA". It matches the Rfam family "Bacterial small subunit ribosomal RNA", at positions 524 to 776 of the family's 1533-position model. The record is from RNAcentral.
CACGUAGGGGGCGAGCGUUGUCCGGAUUUAUUGGGCGUAAAGAGCCUCGUAGGCGGUUCCGUCAGUCGGGUGUGAAAACUCUGGGCUCAACCCAGAGACGCCACCCGAUACUGCGGUGACUAGAGUCCGGUAGGGGAGUGCGGAAUUCCUGGUGUAGCGGUGAAAUGCGCAGAUAUCAGGAGGAACACCAACGGCGAAGGCAGCACUCUGGGCCGGUACUGACGCUGAGGAGCGAAAGCGUGGGGAGCGAACAGG